RNAcentral lists this ribosomal RNA (253 nucleotides) under uncultured bacterium. RNAcentral's name for it is "partial 16S ribosomal RNA". It matches the Rfam family "Bacterial small subunit ribosomal RNA", at positions 524 to 776 of the family's 1533-position model. The record is from RNAcentral.
UACAGAGGUCCCGAGCGUUGUUCGGAUUCACUGGGCGUAAAGGGUGCGUAGGCGGUCGGGUAAGUCUGAUGUGAAAUCUCACAGCUUAACUGUGAAACUGCAUUGGAUACUAUUCGGCUUGAGAGUUGGAGGGGGGACUGGAAUUCUUGGUGUAGCAGUGAAAUGCGUAGAUAUCAAGAGGAACACCGGUGGCGAAGGCGGGUCUCUGGGCAAUAACUGACGCUGAUACGCGAAAGCGUGGGGAGCAAACAGG